Molecule: ribosomal RNA, 729 nt
Filed under: uncultured bacterium
Lineage: Bacteria
Description: bacterial SSU rRNA
Rfam family: Bacterial small subunit ribosomal RNA
Source: RNAcentral
AGUAGACAGAAGCCUCGGUGGAAGAUUACUAAUGAGAGUGGCGAACGGGUGAGUAACGCGUGAGCAACCUGCCUAUGACAGUGGGAUAGCCUCGGGAAACCGGGAUUAAUACCGCAUAAAAUCGUAGUAACACAUGUUUUAACGGUCAAAGAUUUAUCGGUCAUAGAUGGGCUCGCGUCUGAUUAGCUAGUUGGUGAGAUAACAGCCCACCAAGGCGACGAUCAGUAGCCGGUCUGAGAGGAUGAACGGCCACAUUGGAACUGAGACACGGUCCAAACUCCUACGGGAGGCAGCAGUGGGGAAUAUUGCACAAUGGGGGAAACCCUGAUGCAGCGACGCCGCGUGAACGAAGAAGGUAUUCGUAUCGUAAAGUUCUGUCCUAUGGGAAGAUAAUGACAGUACCAUAGAAGAAAGCUCCGGCUAAAUACGUGCCAGCAGCCGCGGUAAUACGUAUGGAGCGAGCGUUGUCCGGAAUUAUUGGGCGUAAAGGGUACGCAGGCGGUUUAAUAAGUCGAAUGUUAAAGAUCGGGGCUCAACCCCGUAAAGCAUUGGAAACUGAUAAACUUGAGUAGUGGAGAGGAAAGUGGAAUUCCUAGUGUAGUGGUGAAAUACGUAGAUAUUAGGAGGAAUACCAGUAGCGAAGGCGACUUUCUGGACACAAACUGACGCUGAGGUACGAAAGCGUGGGGAGCAAACAGGAUUAGAUACCCUGGUAGUCCACGCCGUAAA